AUGCUUAACGUUGUUACAGAGCUGGCCUCACCCUCCAUGCACUGCGGAGUCUGGACAUACAGUUUUCUAAAGAAUUGUGUUCUUCUUGACAAGCCCAACAUACAUGUGAGAACCUUUAUGGACCUGUCUUCGUGGGUUCCACCAUCCACUUUCACCCCUGCCAGCAAAGGGCACUACAGUCUGUGUCCUCAGGAUGUGAUGGAUGGAAGCGAGGAUGGAAUUAGGGCUAAAUAAAAUGACAAAAGUAUGGGCCAUAGUCAUGACACUUGUCAUCUCUGAAACUUAGUUUCUGCAUCAUAAACUGAAAUGACACCUCUUCUACAUAUUCCACAAGGUUUUUCUCUAGAGAUCAAGUGACGUAUUUGAGGAAAGUCCUAUAAAACUCUAAGAUUUUAUACCAAUUUAAAAGCUUUUUUACUGAGAUAGCCAAGUAAACAACAAUUUUUAAAGAAAUUAAGAAACUUUAGGGGCGCCUGGGAGGCUCAGUCGGUUGAGCGUUCGACUUCGGCUCAGGUCAUGAUCUCGUGGUUUGUGGGUUCGAGCCCCGCGUCAGGCUCUGCGCUGACAGCUCAGGGCCUGGAGCCUGCUUCGGAUUCUGCGUCUCCCUCUCUCUCUGCCCCUCCCCCACCCGUGCUCUCUGUCUCAAAAAUAAAUAAACAUUAAAAAAAGUUUUUUUUUAAAUA
This 683-nucleotide long non-coding RNA is filed under the name Felis catus (domestic cat). RNAcentral's name for it is "lncRNA (ENSFCAG00000044345.2)". The stretch from base 472 to 556 matches the Rfam family "tRNA". Lineage: Eukaryota; Metazoa; Chordata; Mammalia; Carnivora; Felidae. The record is from RNAcentral.